CGCUCUACACCCUUUGUGACAUACCUAACU
This 30-nucleotide ribosomal RNA is filed under the name Colletotrichum lineola. RNAcentral's name for it is "partial 18S ribosomal RNA". Lineage: Eukaryota; Fungi; Ascomycota; Sordariomycetes; Glomerellales; Glomerellaceae. The record is from RNAcentral.